This 780-nucleotide unclassified non-coding RNA is filed under the name Gaeumannomyces graminis. RNAcentral's name for it is "partial miscellaneous RNA". The stretch from base 579 to 780 matches the Rfam family "Eukaryotic small subunit ribosomal RNA", at positions 1224 to 1442 of the family's 1831-position model. The record is from RNAcentral. Lineage: Eukaryota; Fungi; Ascomycota; Sordariomycetes; Magnaporthales; Magnaporthaceae.
CGACCACCAGGGGUGGAGCCUGCGGCUUAAUUUGACUCAACACGGGGAAACUCACCAGGUUGAUUUUGGGCCUGGAACAGUGGAUUUAUUCCGCUAGUACUAAUCUUUACCCACGUGGGGGAAGCUAUGAGCCCCCGACUCGAGGCGUUGGGAGUCCGAAAGGACUUGGUUAGUGCGACACCAGCUGGUACAGGGAACGCUCCUUGCGGAGCCAACUCUGUGGCGAGCCCGAGUAGCGUCGGGCCGUCGCAACGCACGCUAAGCGGUGGGCCGAAAGGCUUAAGGUACGUGCUAAUCCCACGGGCAACCGUGGCUAUCCUGAAUAGUUCCGAGUUUACGAAGCAGGAUAGGGGUGGCAUAAAAGCCGCCUGUAUGUCACACAUAACAUUGGCUUCGCGAGGCAUUAAGAGAGAGGCAGUCGGUCAAGUGGUCUAUUGGACUACAACGGUCAGGGAAUGUGACCCCCUCCCUACCAACCCUCUACCCUCCGACUGACCACGCGAGCGUGCCGGCUCCUUCUCUUAUGAUCUGGGGAGGCUCGAUCGUACCUGAUGCGAACCAUUGGAAAUGUGACAAUGCCACACACCACGAGGAUUGACAGAUUGAGACUCUUUCUGAUUUGUGGGUGGUGGUGCAUGCCCGUUCCUAAUUGGUGAUGAUUUGUCUGCUUAAUUGCAUAACAAACAAAACUUAACCUGCUAAAUACCCCCCUUCCCUUUUGGGGCCCCAGCUUCUUAAAAGGAUAUCCGCUCCCCAUGAAUUUAGCAUAAGGUCGUUAAA